Molecule: ribosomal RNA, 253 nt
Filed under: uncultured prokaryote
Description: partial 16S ribosomal RNA
Rfam family: Bacterial small subunit ribosomal RNA
Source: RNAcentral
UACGUAGGGUCCAAGCGUUAUCCGGAAUCACUGGGCGUAAAGCGUGCGUAGGCGGCGUGUUAAGUGUGAUGUUAAAUCGUGUGGCUCAACCAUAUCGAUGCAUCGCAUACUGGCAUGCUAGAGGAAGGCAGAGGCAAGUGGAAUUGGCAGUGUAGCAGUGAAAUGCGUAGAGAUUGCCAGGAACACCAAUGGCGAAGGCAGCUUGCUGGGCCUUAUCUGACGCUGAGGUACGAAAGCGUGGGGAGCGAACAGG